RNAcentral lists this long non-coding RNA (425 nucleotides) under Apteryx rowi (Okarito brown kiwi). RNAcentral describes it as "lncRNA (ENSARWG00000001387.1)". The record is from RNAcentral. Lineage: Eukaryota; Metazoa; Chordata; Aves; Apterygiformes; Apterygidae.
CUAGAUUCUGCUGUUACUACCAUACCUUAAUUCUUUUUUUUUUCUUUUUUUUAGAGUAAAAGCAUUUAACUGCAAAUUUAUGAAAGACCAAUGAGGAAAAUGCCAAUAAAGAGGUUGUGGAUGAAGGCCUGAGAGAUGUGGGUGCACAAUCAGGUUACCCAGCCUUAGGUAAUUGUACCUCAGUUCAGCUGUGGUAACCCUGCCUCCCAAAGGCAAAGAAAGUAAGUAUAUCUGCUAAUUAUUAAGGUGAAUGCAAUAGGAAAUUGUGACGUUUUGAAUUGCUUUGGUAUAACCUUUUUUUUUUUUUUUUUUUAAUGCUGUCUUACAGUUGCAUGCCUGGAAUAUUUGUUGAAUCUCUACUUAACUCUUGAUUGACAUGUAUGUGAGAUAAUAAACUUGAUUAGUUAAGAUCCUCCCGUGUUUGG